Molecule: ribosomal RNA, 674 nt
Filed under: Pseudorthocladius sp. QW-2011
Lineage: Eukaryota; Metazoa; Arthropoda; Insecta; Diptera; Chironomidae
Description: eukaryotic LSU rRNA
Rfam family: Eukaryotic large subunit ribosomal RNA
Source: RNAcentral
UGACCCGUCUUGAAACACGAACCAAGGAGUCUAUCUAGUAUGCGAGUAAAUGAGUAUGUGAAACUUAUUUGCAUAAAAAACUUAACUGUUAUGGGACUACGAGUUGUGCUUUGGUGCAGCUCCUCCAUCCCGGGGUAUUUUCAUCAACAUAUGCAGCAAUGUAUAUGGAAAAUAUACCAUGAGCAUACUGGAUAUGACCCGAAAGAUGGUGAACUAUGCCUGAUCAGGUUGAAGUCAGGGGAAACCCUGAUGGAGGACCGAAGCAAUUCUGACGUGCAAAUCGAUUGUCAGAAUUGGGCAUAGGGGCGAAAGACCAAUCGAACCAUCUAGUAGCUGGUUCCUUCCGAAGUUUCCCUCAGGAUAGCUGGAGCAUAGAAAUAUCUUUUUCUAACUCAUACCUGGUAAAGCGAAUGAUUAGAGGCCUUAGGAACGAAAUGUUCUUAACCUAUUCUCAAACUUUAAAUGGGUAUGUAAGCUAACAUACUUGAUUGAUGUUGGCCUGGUGGUGAGCAGUAAUGUUCAUCUGUAAGAUUGUAUGCGCCCAGUGGGCCAAGUUUUGGUAAGCAGAACUGGUGCUGCGGGAUGAACCGAACGCAUUGUUAAGGCGCCCAAAUAAACGACGCAUCAUCGAUACCAUGAAAGGUGUUGAUGCUAAGACAGCAGAAGCGGAAACC